Molecule: RNA transcript, 1366 nt
Organism: Plodia interpunctella (Indianmeal moth)
Lineage: Eukaryota; Metazoa; Arthropoda; Insecta; Lepidoptera; Pyralidae
Gene name: testis-specific serine/threonine-protein kinase 3-like
Exons: 7
Source: RefSeq, a predicted model, not a curated record
AUUUAUAGACAGACCAUUUCAAAGAUUUCGUCAAGCUUUUGACAAAACGACAGCAUGAAUAAAAACACAAAAAAUACUUGAGUAAUAAUUAUCAUGUGGCUAAAAUUCGUAAUAAUGUAACUUUUGAUGGCCUUCAUUUUUUAAAUACAAAAUUAUACUGUGAUAUGCCGGGGCCGGAUGUUAGAGCCAAUGAAAAUGUAUUCGGCGAGAUGUCGACAGAGCCCGCGGCGACUCUGCAUAGCGGAACUGAAACUAAACCUGACAGAAAACUUACCGUCCUCGAAACACAUGGAUAUGUACUUGGUAGAACUAUUGGGUCUGGAUCGUAUGCUACCGUCAAGGUAGCAACGAGUGAAAGGCACAACUGCCAAGUAGCAGUAAAAAUUAUUAGCAAGUUUCAAGCGCCAGGCGAUUAUCUGAAGAAAUUCCUUCCAAGAGAAAUAGAAGUCGUAAAAGGGCUGAAACAUGAAAAUUUAAUACGGUUUUUGCAAGCAAUCGAAACUACACACAGGGUCUAUAUAGUGAUGGAGUAUGCCGAAAAUGGCAGUCUCCUAGACAUAAUCCGCAAAGACCAGCACAUCGACGAGAUCCGUGGUCGUCGUUGGUUUCAACAACUCGUCGAAGCCGUUGAGUACUGCCACGAUAGAGGGGUAGUUCACAGAGACAUUAAAUGCGAGAAUCUACUAAUGGAUCACGGUCUGAACAUAAAGCUUUCUGAUUUUGGAUUCGCGAGGGGUCAUAUGAAGCCGAAAAAUGGAGUGUAUUCCUUGAGUGAAACCUUCUGCGGCAGUUAUGCCUAUGCCUCUCCCGAAAUUCUCAAAGGAGUCCCAUACAGGCCGCAGGACUCUGAUAUAUGGAGUAUGGGAGUUGUGUUGUACGCCAUUGUCUACGGACGUCUGCCAUUUGAUGAUACAAACUACACGCAAUUGUUAAAGCAAGUUCAAAACAAAGUUUCAUUCCCUCGAGAGCCAAAGGUUUCAACGGAAUGCCGCAAACUAAUCACCAGGAUUCUGGCUCCUCUGAAGGUCCGCCUGAAAAUACCUCAAAUCCUCGCCGACCCCUGGCUGAACCCCAACCAACCAUCCAAAGAUGAAGAAGUCGAUGCCCAGAAUUCCGACUUUGGUACAAAAUUGGCUAAAUAAAUCUUUGGCACAAAAACAACCUGAUAAAAUUCUACAACCUUGAGCGAUGUAAAGACAAAGAAGUCAAUAGCAAAGAAGAAAUCAAAAGUGUGAAUAUAGGAACUGUAACGUUUGAUAGAAAAUUAGAAGAAGUUAAAUAAUAAAUUACCUAAAUAUGUAAAAAGUUUAAAAACAGUUUAAGAACUCAAUUUUUUUAAUCAAUACAAAUAUACCGUUAACAAAGA